Molecule: ribosomal RNA, 465 nt
Filed under: uncultured bacterium
Lineage: Bacteria
Description: partial 16S ribosomal RNA
Rfam family: Bacterial small subunit ribosomal RNA
Source: RNAcentral
GACGAACGCUGGCGGCGUGCUUAACACAUGCAAGUCGAACGGAAAGGCCCCUUUGGGGGUACUCGAGUGGCGAACGGGUGAGUAACACGUGAGUAACCUGCCCUUGACUUCGGGAUAACUUCAGGAAACUGGGGCUAAUACCGGAUAGGAAUCCUUGCUGCAUGGUGGGGGUUGGAAAGCUUCGGCGGUUUUGGAUGGACUCGCGGCUUAUCAGCUUGUUGGUGGGGUAGUGGCUUACCAAGGCUUUGACGGGUAGCCGGCCUGAGAGGGCGACCGGCCACAUUGGGACUGAGAUACGGCCCAGACUCCUACGGGAGGCAGAAGUGGGGAAUAUUGCACAAUGGGCGGAAGCCUGAUGCAGCAACGCCGCGGGCGGGAUGACGGCCUUCGGGUUGUAAACCGCUUUCAGCAGGGGCGAAGCUUGUGGUGACGGUACCUGCAGAAGAAGCACCGGCUAACUACGUG